AUCUAGCCCCGAUAGUAACGAUAUCCUUUUUCUGGCUUGUUUAGCCGGGUAAAGAUAUAGUAAAUAGCGGGACUGAUG
The sequence is a small RNA, 78 nucleotides long. It matches the Rfam family "Flavo-1 RNA".